This is a non-coding RNA of Penaeus vannamei (Pacific white shrimp), 310 nucleotides long. The record is from RefSeq and is a predicted model, not a curated record. Lineage: Eukaryota; Metazoa; Arthropoda; Malacostraca; Decapoda; Penaeidae.
AACAUAAUCGUUGCCAACAUUUCCACCACGGGGGCGCUGCGGUAAAGACGAAUAAAAGAAUAAACAAAAGAAUCAAAGAAUAGAUAAACAAAUAAAGAAACAAAACAGAUAAAAAAAAAGCCAGCCCAGAACCAACCACGCCCAAAACCAACUCCAACCUCGCUGCCACCAUUUCCACCAUUUCGCGGCGCUGCGUUGCACCUGAUUCUGAGUUGCUGACCGGUGGUGUAAAUAACAGUAAAUAACAGGUAUGAAUAACGUGAUCAAAACGAGGCUUUUUGGUGCACUUAGCAAUAAAGAUUGAAAUGAA